CUCUUUCCCUCCAGACACUCACCUGGAUCCCAGACUCCUUCUUCUCCAGCCUCCUGAGCGGGCGCAUCUCCACCCUGAAAGACGAGACUGGAGCCAUCUUCAUCGACAGGGACCCCACAGUCUUUGCCCCCAUUCUCAACUUCCUGCGCACCAAAGAACUGGACCCUAGGGGUGUCCAUGGUUCCAGCCUCCUCCA
Long non-coding RNA from Jaculus jaculus (lesser Egyptian jerboa), 196 nucleotides. RefSeq lists it as uncharacterized. Lineage: Eukaryota; Metazoa; Chordata; Mammalia; Rodentia; Dipodidae. The transcript has 4 exons. The record is from RefSeq and is a predicted model, not a curated record.